This 306-nucleotide ribosomal RNA is filed under the name uncultured bacterium. RNAcentral describes it as "bacterial SSU rRNA". It matches the Rfam family "Bacterial small subunit ribosomal RNA", at positions 28 to 330 of the family's 1533-position model. The record is from RNAcentral.
GACGAACGCUGGCGGCGUCGCCUAACACAUGCAAGUCGAACGAGGUCCAUCCUUCGGGAGAAGACCUAGUGGCGAACGGGUGAGUAACAACGUGAGGAACCUGCCCCGAAGACCGGGAUAACCCUCCGAAAGGAGAGCUAAUACCGGAUACCCCCACCGAACCGCAUGGUUUGGUGAGGAAAUGGAUUCCGCUUCGGGAGGGCCUCGCGGCCUAUCAAGCUAGUUGGUGGGGUAACGGCCCACCAAGGCAUCGACGGGUAGCUGGGUCUGAGAGGACGAUCAGCCACACUGGGACUGAGACACGGG